This is a non-coding RNA of Odocoileus virginianus texanus, 924 nucleotides long. The record is from RefSeq and is a predicted model, not a curated record. Lineage: Eukaryota; Metazoa; Chordata; Mammalia; Artiodactyla; Cervidae.
GACCAAUUUCCAGGGCUUACUGGCCUUAUAGCUCCUGUGGGUUCCUGAGCACCUGGGAUGGAGCAGUAUUUCUCAGAUGAUGGGAGAUUCUGGGGUCCCCUGGUCUGUCAGUUUCAUAGAUCAUGGGUCCAGGUGGGGAUUGUGAGCUGGGGUGAUCGCUGUGGUUUGAAAGAAGUGCCUGCAGUGUACACAGAUAUUGGAUCAUUUUAAGAAUGAGUCGAGCAUCGGGUCUGGACUCUGGAUUUCUUAUUCUACUACUGUGUCUGUUGCUGCCUCUGGGCAUCCUGGCAACCCUGUGAUCACCCUGGCCCCUGCCAUUCCUGUUUCUGAGUCUCACAUUAGCCCUGCCUCUGAGAUCCCACUCCUACUCAAUACCCUGUCCUCAAAUCCAUUUGGGAUCCACUGAUCCUGUGGAGAUCCACAAGACAGAGUGGCAGCAAGUGGAGACUGAAACUGUACCUGCCUGGUGCUCCAGGAACCUGCCUCAUCCAGGCCUAUCUGUAGGCCAUGGUCUGCUUGCCAGGAAGGACUGGGUGAAACCAUCCCAGCUGGAUGGACAGUGACGUGCCCAGUGAUGCGUCAGGAUGCUGCACGAGUCUUGGAGAACAUUUUUCCAUUGUCGCCGGUGAAGCAGUGUCAGACCUGACACUUUAUCAAACCAGUCCACCUGAUGACUGUUGGGAGGGAGGAGGCCUCGUCAUUUCCAUCUCUGACUCAGUUGGGUUGGGAGAAGGUCCCCCACUUCCCAGUGCAGAUCACUCUGUGAGUGUGCAGGCUCUGAGCCACACAAACCCUCGUGGGUCAGCUCAGUCUUGGAACCACCUUCCCAGUGCUGCAGUGGCGACAUCUGCACUCACCACUCAGCAUUUAGGAGAGUGGAAAUUUCAGGUAUGAAACUAAUAAAUGUUUGGAGAGUCUCUUGUA